CCUACGGGUGGCAGCAGUGGGGAAUAUUGCACAAUGGGCGAAACCCUGAUGCAGCGACGCCGCGUGAGUGAAGAAGUAAUUCGUUAUGUAAAGCUCUAUCAGCAGGGAAGAAAAUGACGGUACCUGAGUCAGAAGCCCCGGCUAACUACGUGCCAGCAGCCGCGGUAAUACGUAGGGGGCAAGCGUUAUCCGGAUUUACUGGGUGUAAAGGGAGCGUAGACGGCAGUGCAAGUCUGGAGUGAAAGGCGGGGGCUCAACCCCCGGACUGCUCUGGAAACUGUACGGCUGGAGUGCAGGAGAGGGAAGUGGAAUUCCUGGUGUAGCGGUGAAAUGCGUAGAUAUUAGGAGGAACACCAGUGGCGAAGGCGGCUUACUGGACUGUAACUGACGUUGAGGCUCGAAAGCGUGGGGAGCAAACAGGAUUAGAUACCCCAGUAGUC
RNAcentral lists this ribosomal RNA (440 nucleotides) under uncultured bacterium. RNAcentral describes it as "partial 16S ribosomal RNA". It matches the Rfam family "Bacterial small subunit ribosomal RNA", at positions 338 to 795 of the family's 1533-position model. The record is from RNAcentral.